Molecule: long non-coding RNA, 4127 nt
Filed under: Mytilus galloprovincialis (Mediterranean mussel)
Lineage: Eukaryota; Metazoa; Mollusca; Bivalvia; Mytilida; Mytilidae
Source: RNAcentral
CCUAGAAGAGGAAUCAUUAUUACCAUUGUUUUGUUUUCAAGCUGGUAGCAUAGAAUGAUUUAGAUUUUAAAUCUAAUCAAUAUUUUGAAGGUUUGAAUAUGAAAUGCAAUCGAUAAAUGCAGUUUAAAUGAGAAUUGAUGUGCUUCGUAUCUCAGAUAAUUAUCUCGUACGGUUCACGGAAACGAGCGUCCUAUGCCAGACGACAUGAAUAUUGACACCACAGUACUGGAAACGGAGAGUAAUACAGCUCUUGGAGAUAUAUAAAUCAGGUAUAUAAUUCACAAACACGUUCUAAAGGCAUGUGUACAGUAGUAAAUUAUAAUAUACCAAUCCCAGAACAAAGGCGGUCUUCAUGAAAAACUUGACAGCCCGAAAAUUUGAAAAACCUGUCAAUGUCAUAACACCAAAAUUUUAAAUUUCUUAAAUUUAAACAGUUAAAUCAUUUGAUAUACAUGAUAUACCUAUAUUUAGUAUGUGAGUUGUGUGUCCUUUUUCAUUAAAAUGUUACUGUCACAACAACAUUUAUACGUGUCUGGGCGGUAUGAUUUUUAUGAGUGUAUCAUGAAGACCAAUAAUGAUAAUGAUCACAAAAAUACACAGGCACUUGUUUUUGUCAAUAUGGGGUUUACUAUCCACCUCCUUACGAAAAAUCGCUUCGUACGGUGUGAUAGUAAACCCCACAUUGACAGAAUAAGUGCCUGUGCAAUUUUUAAAAGAAAAUUUACACGGCACACGCUCUUGUUUUGUCAUGUGGGGUUUACUCUCCACACCCGAAGAAAUAUUACAAGGUUCAUGUAGCUAAACUGAUCUAUCCUUGCUUGUCAUAAACUAAAGCCAUGCAGAUACUUUGGAAGUCAAUGAAGAUACAUGUAUAACAGAUAUCAUAUUUUAUCUCACAACCCAUUUGCAUGUUGACAAUAGUCCGCAACCUCAAUCGUAAAAGCAAAAACAAAAUUAAAGUACAUGAAGGAAAAUACAUGGAGGAAGAUACACAUAGGGCGUAAUCAUGGCAAUAUGCACCAAUGAGAAGAGUUGUGCCAUAAGGCCAUAAGAUUAAGGAUUGAGGAAGGUAGCUAAACUGAUCUGCCUUACUAAGACAUUUAGGGCAAAUCUUUCAAGAUUUAAAUGUCCAUCAGAAUAUAAUUUAUCCCCUCACAAAUUUUCAGAUGAAUCUGACAACUCGUUGUUGGGUUGCUGCCCUAAAAUUGGUAAUUUUAAGGAAAUUUUUCAGUUUUUGGUUAUUAUCUUGAAUACUAUUAUAGAUAGAGAUAAACUGUAAACAGCAAUUUUGUUCAGCAAGGUAGGAUCUACAAAUAGGUUAACAUGAUUAAAAUUGUAAGAGUACCCCUUAAGGAGUUAUUGCCCUUUAUAGUCAAUUUUGAACAACUUUUAGUCAUUUUUGUAACUUGUACAAAAUCUUCUUUUCUAAAACUAUGGCCAUAAUAAACUAAACGUGGCCACAUCAUUCUAUGUAUCUAUUUAAAAAAAAGUGUCUAAUGACCCCACCUACCAACCAAGAUGACUGACAUCAGUAAAUACAGUAACAGGUGAGCGACACAGGCUCUCGAGAGCCUCUAGUUAGUCUAGUUAAUUCUAGCAGUGGGGUUGGGGUCGAGCUGGGUGACCUCCUUACUUAAUUGAUAGGGUGUGCUGCUGUGGUUUUGUUACCCCCAACUUUUUUAUAUAAAUGAGCCUUAUAAAAAAUGUAGACCUUUUCAUAUUUUACGUAGGCAAUGCUAGGGAAAAAUGUUACUUUUCCCAUAUUGACUUUUAUUAUUGUUUGUGUUUUGGUGUGAAUCAGAAUGUAAAAAAAGUGGAGUGCCAAAGGAGUGCAAGUUAGUUGAUAAAAACACAGCUUGACUUUCUUUUGAAAGAAAAUUUAUACCAAAGACACUACAACUUUGUAUAAUCUCUGUAAAAAGAUAUCUUGAUGCCACUUUUGAAAAUCCUGGAUCCCCUUUUUCCAAAAUAAAAUAUACAUAUACUUCAGAAGUUUAAAAGAGAACUAAAUGUUUAUGUUAUAUAAAUGUGUUUCUCUUUUUUUUUUAAACAGGUUAGGCCGUUGUUUUCCUGUUGGAAUGGUUUUACACUAGUAAUUUUGGGGCCCUUUAUAGCUUGUUGUUCGGUGUGAGCCAAGGCUCCGUGUUGAAGGCCGUACAUUGCCCUAUAAUGGUUUACUUUUUUAAUUUUUUUUUUAAAUUGUUAUUUGGAUAUGUGUUUCUCUUUUUUUUUAAACAGAUUAGGCCGUUGGUUUUUUCCUGUUUGAAUGGUUUUACACUAGUAAUUUUGGGGCCCUUUAUAGCUUGUUGUUCGAUGUGAGCCAAGGCUCCGUGUUGAAGGCCGUACAUUGCCCUAUAAUGGUUUACUUUUUUUUUUUUUUAAAUUGUUAUUUGGAUAGAGAGUUGUCUCAUUGGCACUCACACCACAUCUUCCUAUAUCUAUACAAAGUUAGUUGACUGUGGUAUUAUCAUUGAUUAUGAAAAGAAAAGUAGAGCUAGGUUAUAAGUUUUUUUUUUUUAUUUUGGAAUAUCAUGAAUAAAGCCAGAGGAAUCUGAAUAUCUGGCAAAAAACUCAAAUACAGGAGGCCUUUUUUAUAUUCAACUGCAGGUUAUAAUUUACAAUGUACAUGUAUAACACUGAUCCAUCUGGAUCUAUCUGGAGUGGUAUAUAAACUUCACUUGCCAUGCUUGUCGCAUACUGAACAUUUAACUCCUUUCCUUUAACAAUUUAAUAUACAUGAUUAUGAUGAUACAAACAAUUUAAUAUACAUGAUUAUGAUGAUUCAUGUCAAGAUUGUUCACAGAAUGACACUUGAGUUAUCAGGCAAUUAACUUUCACUGUCCCUUUAUUUAUCACACAAUUUUGGUUGAAAUCAAAUUAUGUUAUGCCCAAAUUGCAACAUGGCUACAGAUGCCUUAAGGUACAUGUAGUCACUGUAAUUUUCCUUUAAAUUUUUUAUCAGACUAUGACAAUAACUGAAAUAUGUUAUAACUGUAAAUGAAAUGCUGAAUAUUUAUGCAUAUUUUUUUUUAUAUGACAGUUAUUAAGCAGGUCUUGAAUGAAGUCUUGAUUAUGGAGGAUCUGUUUGUAAAUUCCUGACAUGAAAAAGAAAAUGACAGAGGGAGAAGUCCAGGUCAAUGUUAGAAGGACAAUUCAGCAAAGUUCCAACAGAUAUGUAUGCACUUAUUCCAUUUUAUUAAAUGUUAUGCAUUUAACAAAAUAGUAUGCUCUAAAAAAAACAACAACAUUCCUUUUGGCUUGCAGCAAAUGUGCAAGGAAAGAAUAUAUUACAUUUGUUACAUUAAUGCUACAUAGGAUACUUAAGUAACUUUGCAACAAAAUGCUCUGAAUUAACUAUUUGCUACUUGUCAAUUGAAGGAUGUCAUGUAAUGCAUACAAAAAAAAUUAUAAACAUGAUAAAUCAAAUGUUCUACAAAAAUGUACUGCCUUCUAUAUUUCAUUCUAUACUUUAAACAUAAUUGAUAUGAAUUGGAGGGCUUGCAAUCGUGCACUCCUAUUGCAGCUGUUUAUUUUAUUUUCAACACACUUGACAUUUAUUGUUUCAAUGAUGUCUUUAUUUCCUCAUACUAAAAAGUAAUUGAGAUAUUGAGUGCCACUUUAAACACCAUGGUGCUAUUUUGUGGCAUCCUGUUUUUAUUAGUGGAGAAAACUAAGACCUUUAUAAGGAACUGACAAUCCUAGUCAAUUAAGUCUCUUAAUUUAAUAUCAAUUAAUAACAAAGGAAUGUAAAAUAAAGAGAGAAGAAAAAAGCAAUUUUUAUAUAUACAGACAAAAAAAUAUUUAAGUCUCGCAGUAUAAAAUCCCUGUGCAAUGAUGCCAAUCUUUAAUGAUAUAAAAUAUUCAUAAUAUCAACAUUACUAAAGAUGAGUAUGUGACAUUUGUUUUUCAGUCAGUAGAAGGAGGCAUACUACAUAUAAUAUGUGUAUUAAAUUGUAUGUUAAUUAACAAUGUAUUUGAAUAUAAUUAUUUUUUUCCAGAAAAUGAAAUCUGAUUUUGAGGCAAAUAUAUAUAUGUAAGAUGAAUAGAAGACAUGAUACUCUAGCAGUGCUUCAGAAUCACACUAUAGAAGUAUGAAGAAUUUUGAUUGUAAUCAAGUUAACCUGAAG